This 362-nucleotide transfer-messenger RNA is filed under the name Salmonella enterica subsp. enterica serovar Agona str. SL483. RNAcentral describes it as "ssrA". It matches the Rfam family "transfer-messenger RNA". Rfam says of the family: Bacterial tmRNA, also known as 10Sa RNA or SsrA, is named for its dual tRNA and mRNA-like properties. The record is from RNAcentral. RNAcentral also lists the same sequence under 3 other names. Lineage: Bacteria; Pseudomonadati; Pseudomonadota; Gammaproteobacteria; Enterobacterales; Enterobacteriaceae.
GGGGCUGAUUCUGGAUUCGACGGGAUUUGCGAAACCCAAGGUGCAUGCCGAGGGGCGGUUGGCCUCGUAAAAAGCCGCAAAAAAAUAGUCGCAAACGACGAAAACUACGCUUUAGCAGCUUAAUAACCUGCUUAGAGCCCUCUCUCCCUAGCCUCCGCUCUUAGGACGGGGAUCAAGAGAGGUCAAACCCAAAAGAGAUCGCGCGGAUGCCCUGCCUGGGGUUGAAGCGUUAAAACGAAUCAGGCUAGUCUGGUAGUGGCGUGUCCGUCCGCAGGUGCCAGGCGAAUGUAAAGACUGACUAAGCAUGUAGUACCGAGGAUGUAGGAAUUUCGGACGCGGGUUCAACUCCCGCCAGCUCCACC